AUUCCCCUAUCCCCCCACCCCCACCCAAAUCCUUGCUCCGGGAAACUAAGCGGCCACGCAGCAAGUAGCCCUAUGGAGAGGCCCUGUGGUAAGGAACUGAUGUCUCCGAGCAACAGCCAGCCUCACCUGAGACCCAUCAUCAGCCACAUGAGUGGGCUUCAAAGUGAGUCCUCCCCCAUUUGAGUCCUGAGAUGACUGCCAUCUGGCCACACCUUGAUUGACUGGCACUCAGCCUCCCGACUGAGCCAGAGGAUCUUACCAUGCCACACCUGGAUUGCUAGCCCACAGAAACUAUAAGAUAAUAAAUGUUUGUUUGUUUGUUUGUUUAUUUGUUAUUAAGUAAGUUCUAAACCCAAUGUGGGGCUUGAACUCACAACCCCAAGAUCGGGAGUCACACGCUCUAUCAACCAAGCCAGACUGGUGCCCCUGUUUAUGGUUUUAAGUGCAAAGUUUGGGGCUACUUUGUUACACAGCAAUAGAUAAUGAAUAUAGGUGACUUUGAUAAUGUCAGAUAUUUUAUGUAAGAAAACAUGCUAAGUUGGGGUGCCUGGCUGGCUCAGUUGGUGGAAUAUGCGACUCUUGAUCUCGGGAUUAUAGGUUUGAGCCCCACGUUGGGUGUUGAUACUACUUAAAAAUAUUUUUUUGAAAGAUUUAUUUAUUUAUUUGAGAGAGAGAGAGAGAAAGGGAGCAGAAGGAGAGAGAGUCACAAGCAGACUCCACACUGAGCUUGAAGCCUGAUUCGGGGCUUGAUCCCACAGCCCUGAGAUCACGACCUGAGUCGAAACCAAGAGUCAGACACCUAACCAACUCUACCACCCAGGUGCCUGUAAUAAUAAAAUCUUUUUCUAAAAAAGAAAGAAAACAUACUAAAAAGAGAAAUCAAGGAAUCGAUCCCAUUUACAAUUGCACCAAGACCCGUAAAAGACCUAGGAAUAAACCUAACCAAAGAGGUAAAAGAUCUGUACUCUGAAAACUACAAAACGCUUAUGAAAAAAAUUAAAGAUGACAC
Molecule: long non-coding RNA, 1009 nt
Filed under: Ursus thibetanus thibetanus
Lineage: Eukaryota; Metazoa; Chordata; Mammalia; Carnivora; Ursidae
Description: lncRNA (ENSUTTG00000001956.1)
Source: RNAcentral